RNAcentral lists this unclassified non-coding RNA (341 nucleotides) under soil metagenome. RNAcentral's name for it is "partial contains 5.8S ribosomal RNA, internal transcribed spacer 2, and large subunit ribosomal RNA". The stretch from base 1 to 120 matches the Rfam family "5.8S ribosomal RNA", at positions 35 to 154 of the family's 154-position model. The record is from RNAcentral.
GAUGAAGAACGUAGCGAAAUGCGAUAAGUAGUGUGAAUUGCAGAAUUCAGUGAAUCAUCGAAUCUUUGAACGCACAUUGCGCCCUUUGGUAUUCCAAAGGGCAUGCCUGUUCGAGCGUCAUUUGUACCCUCAAGCUUUGCUUGGUGUUGGGCGUCUUGUCUCUAGCUUUGCUGGAGACUCGCCUUAAAGUAAUUGGCAGCCGGCCUACUGGUUUAGGAGCGCAGCACAAGUCGCACUCUCUAUCAGCAAAGGUCUAGCAUCCACUAAGCCUUUUUUUCAACUUUUGACCUCGGAUCAGGUAGGGAUACCCGCUGAACUUAAGCAUAUCAAUAAGCGGAGGA